AGUGAACGCUGGCGGUAGGCCUAACACAUGCAAGUCGAACGGCAGCACAGUAAGAGCUUGCUCUUACGGGUGGCGAGUGGCGGACGGGUGAGGAAUACAUCGGAAUCUACUUUUUCGUGGGGGAUAACGUAGGGAAACUUACGCUAAUACCGCAUACGACCUACGGGUGAAAGCAGGGGAUCUUCGGACCUUGCGCGAUUGAAUGAGCCGAUGUCGGAUUAGCUAGUUGGCGGGGUAAAGGCCCACCAAGGCGACGAUCCGUAGCUGGUCUGAGAGGAUGAUCAGCCACACUGGAACUGAGACACGGUCCAGACUCCUACGGGAGGCAGCAGUGGGGAAUAUUGGACAAUGGGCGCAAGCCCGAUCCAGCCAUACCGCGUGGGUGAAGGAGGCCUUCGGGUUGUAAAGCCCUUUUGUUGGGAAAGAAAAGCAGCAGGUUAAUACCCCGCUGUUCUGACGGUACCCAAAGAAUAAGCACCGGCUAACUUCGUG
RNAcentral lists this ribosomal RNA (492 nucleotides) under uncultured bacterium. RNAcentral describes it as "partial 16S ribosomal RNA". It matches the Rfam family "Bacterial small subunit ribosomal RNA", at positions 29 to 507 of the family's 1533-position model. The record is from RNAcentral.